UGGGAAUUUGACGAAUGGGCGCGAAGCCUGAUCCAGCCAUGCCGCGUGCGGGAAGAAGGCCUUCGGGUUGUAAACCGCUUUUGUCAGGGAAGAAAUCUUCUGAGUUAAUACCUCGGGAGGAUGACGGUACCUGAAGAAUAAGCACCGGCUAACUACGUGCCAGCAGCCGCGGUAAUACGUAGGGUGCAAGCGUUAAUCGGAAUUACUGGGCGUAAAGCGUGCGCAGGCGGUUUUGUAAGACAGAGGUGAAAUCCCCGGGCUCAACCUGGGAACUGCCUUUGUGACUGCAAGGCUUGAGUGCGGCAGAGGGGGAUGGAAUUCCGCGUGUAGCAGUGAAAUGCGUAGAUAUGCGGAGGAACACCGAUGGCGAAGGCAAUCCCCUGGGCCUGCACUGACGCUCAUGCACGAAAGCGUGGGGAGCAAACAGGAUUAGAUACCCUGGUAGUCCACGCCCUAAACGAUGUCAACUGGUUGUUGGGAAGGUUCCUUCUCAGUAACGUAGCUAACGCGUGAAGUUGACCGCCUGGGGAGUACGGCCGCAAGGUUGAAACUUAAAUGAAUUGAC
Molecule: ribosomal RNA, 565 nt
Filed under: uncultured bacterium
Lineage: Bacteria
Description: partial 16S ribosomal RNA
Rfam family: Bacterial small subunit ribosomal RNA
Source: RNAcentral